UGAGUACUGGUUCCAAGUGACAUGACCCAGCGAUUAUGUUUACAGUCUGGACUUCUGAUCAAGAGCGUUCUUGAAAUUUUCCUUCAGUUUAAGACAUUUUCAUGCAGGCAGAGUGUUCUUCCCCUAAAGGCACUUGACACUUACUCACUUUUUAAGUGUGUAGUGAACAGUACUAAGAUCUAAUAAUGAAAACAAGUUACAUGGCUCCCUAAGAACAAGUACUAAGAAAUGCAGUAGCCAACAAGAUUACCUACCAUGCAAUCAUUAAGGAGAACCAAAGUAAGAGAGCCACUCAAACCAGACUUUGAAUGCUACUAAAAUUAAAGUAGUUCUUUGAUGAAUAUGAAUGAGUAGGGAAAGGAUUCUUUGUGAUAGUAAUAUCUCUGUGGUAAGAGAAGGGUGGUAUGUGAGUUUUAGUCUAUAGAUGUAUGGCAAAUUCAGUGACAACAAUCAAAUGGUCGAAGACUGACAAUAGCACAGUUUUACUCUGUGAAGGUAAUGUUCAGGACGAAUUUAAAGAAUUACUUUUCAAAAAGAUUCUAGGGUUAAAUUGCUAUAAAACUUUAUUAUCUAAGAACAUUAUUAUUAUUGAGAAGAGCAAGAUAAGAUAUUUGCCAGUUCUGCUUGAAUCUUUGCCUGGAGGAGGAAAAAUGUUUCAUUGUGCAGGAAAUGUGUAAGGAAGUCUUACCUCCCUUUUCUCAUCUCUUGAGGACUUAAAAGUGGAAAUAACAAUGGUUGGGGAAAGAUUUCCGCUCUAAAGAAUGGUUUUCUAGUUUUCUUGAAAGUUGAUAAUCACAGCUGUCUAGCAAGCAUUUCCUUGGGAACUUGAAGCUGUUUAUUCACUUUGGUCUUUCCUCCCAGGGGAAUGAAGUGAGGCCAGUGGCCGGGUCUGCUGAGUCCGCAGCACUCAGACUACGUGCACCUCUGCAGCAGGUGCAGGCCCAGUUGUCACCCCUCCAGAACAUCUCCUCAUGGAUUCUGGCGGUAUUGACUCUUCAGAUUCAGAGUCUGAUAUCCUGUUGGGCAUUCUGGACAACUUGGACCCAAUCAUGUUCUUCAAAUGCCCUUCCCCAGAGCCUGCCAGCCUGGAGGAGCUCUCAGAGGUCUACCCAGAAGGACCCAGUUCCUUACCAGCCUCCCUUUCUCUGUCAGUGGGGACGUCAUCAGCCAAGCUGGAAGCCAUUAAUGAACUAAUUCGUUUUGACCACAUAUAUACCAAGCCCCUAGUCUUAGAGAUACCCUCUGAGACAGAGAGCCAAGCUAAUGUGGUAGUGAAAAUUGAGGAAGCACCUCUCAGCCCCUCAGAGAAUGAUCACCCUGAAUUCAUUGUCUCAGUGAAGGAAGAACCUGUAGAAGAUGACCUCGUUCCGGAGCUGGGUAUCUCAAAUCUGCUUUCAUCCAGCCACUGCCCAAAGCCAUCUUCCUGCCUACUGGAUGCUUACAGUGACUGUGGAUAUGGGGGUUCCCUUUCCCCCUUCAGUGACAUGUCCUCUCCGCUUGGUGUAAACCAUUCUUGGGAGGACACUUUUGCCAAUGAACUCUUUCCCCAGCUGAUUAGUGUCUAAGGAAUGAUCCAAUACUGUUGCCCUUUUCCUUGACUAUUACACUGCCUGGAGGAUAGCAGAGAAGCCUGUCUGUGCUUCAUUCAAAAAGCCAAAAUAGAGAGUAUACAGUCUUAGAGAAUUCCUCUAUUUGUUCAAAUCUCAUAGAUGACCCCCAGGUAUUGUCUUUUGACAUCCAGCAGUCCAAGGUAUUGAGACAUAUUACUGUAAGUAAGAAAUAUUACUAUAAUUGAGAACUACGGCUUUUAAGAUUGUACUUUUAUCUUAAAAGGGUGGUAGUUUUCCCUAAAAUACUUAUUAUGUAAGAGUCAUUAGACAAAUGUCUUGAAGUAGACAUGGAAUUUAUGAAUGGUUAUCAUUUCUCUUCCCCCUUUUUGGCAUCCCAGCUUGCCUCCAGUUUUAGGUCCUUUAGUUUGCUUCUGUAAGCAACGAGAACACCUGCUGAGGGGGCUCUUUCCCUCAUGUAUACUUCAAGUAAGAUCAAGAAUCUUUUGUGAAAUUAUAGAAAUUUACUAUGUAAAUGCUUGAUGGAAUUUUUUCCUGCUAGUGUAGCUUCUGAAAGGUGCUUUCUCCAUUUAUUUAAAACUACCCAUGCAAUUAAAAGGUACAGUGCAG
Molecule: small RNA, 2177 nt
Filed under: Pongo abelii (Sumatran orangutan)
Lineage: Eukaryota; Metazoa; Chordata; Mammalia; Primates; Hominidae
Description: retained intron
Rfam family: bZIP non canonical Hac1/Xbp1 intron (bases 878-954)
Source: RNAcentral